Molecule: unclassified non-coding RNA, 632 nt
Filed under: Hevea brasiliensis (rubber tree)
Lineage: Eukaryota; Viridiplantae; Streptophyta; Magnoliopsida; Malpighiales; Euphorbiaceae
Source: RNAcentral
GAAAUCUUUUAAGCAUAAUAGGAAUUGGGAAAUUUCAACUUCCUCAGCUGGAAGUGGUAUUAAAGAGAGGGAGGGUAAUGUUGGUAGGGCUCCUAAUCAAAUGGGUGCUUCUCUUCUGAAGAUUUAAUCACAAAAAGGAAACAACAGCGAGAGGCUGUUGAUGCUAUUCUUUACUCAUCUCUCAUUUCUUCCAAGAAGUCGGAACCGUCAAUGAAACCUGUGCCAGCCAAGAGGCCUCUUUCUCCUACUUCAAUUGUAAGUAGUGGUAUUAGACCACCCAAGACAAGGAAAGGUCCAUCCAUACCCUCAAAAGGUGCAUUGCAAGACUAGAGCCAUCACCAACAUACACAUUUCUUUUUUAUUUGGAUACAUUGGAACAUUUGGUAAAAAUCUUGAGAUAUGUGGACUAUGAAGUUAAAAUCUGUUCUAAGGUUUUGGCUUGAUGAAAGCUGAAAGAAGAAGAAAAGGUUACUUCUGUUCAGCUUCUUGAUCUCGAAUGAUCAGAGUGCCCAGGAAAUUACAAAUCAGCUUGGCUUUGGUUUUCCCAGUUCACAAUGGCAUAUCCUGCAUAGUAUUAGAAUGCUGGCCUACCAAUCGUGGCACAGAUGAGUUGGGUUUUACCUUUUUUUUUU